GAAGGUGUAGCUCAAAUGGUAGAGCGUACGCUUAGCAUGCACCAGGUCCUGGGUUCAAUCCCCAGUACCUGCG
Molecule: transfer RNA, 73 nt
Filed under: Camelus ferus (Wild Bactrian camel)
Lineage: Eukaryota; Metazoa; Chordata; Mammalia; Artiodactyla; Camelidae
Rfam family: tRNA
About the family: Transfer RNA (tRNA) molecules are approximately 80 nucleotides in length. Their secondary structure includes four short double-helical elements and three loops (D, anti-codon, and T loops).
Source: Rfam by way of RNAcentral